AUGAACAUUGCUCUCCUGACCCGAUGGCUCUGGCGAAUCGCCAAUGGGGAGGGAGGACUCUGGCUUACCAUCAUCUGAAAUAAGUACCUUCGGGGCCAACCCCUAGCUUUCUGUCAGCGUUUUGGUGGCUCCCAGUUCUGGCAGGCUGUGAUUCAGCUACUAACCGUGCUCCGCAUCGGCACGUCCAUCUCGGUUGGCUCCGGGUCCUCAACCCUGUUCUGGUUCGAUCGUUGGUUAGGGGACCCACCUGGCCGCUCGAUUCCCGGAACUAUUCGCCAUAGCGGUUGA
RNAcentral lists this ribosomal RNA (288 nucleotides) under Triticum aestivum (bread wheat). Its description in RNAcentral is "partial small subunit ribosomal RNA". The record is from RNAcentral. Lineage: Eukaryota; Viridiplantae; Streptophyta; Magnoliopsida; Poales; Poaceae.